RNAcentral lists this ribosomal RNA (396 nucleotides) under uncultured bacterium. Its description in RNAcentral is "partial 16S ribosomal RNA". It matches the Rfam family "Bacterial small subunit ribosomal RNA", at positions 361 to 775 of the family's 1533-position model. The record is from RNAcentral.
AUAUUGCACUAUAGGGGAAACCCUGCUGCAGCGACGCCGCGUGAGCGAAGAAGGCCUUCCGGUCGUAAAGCUCUGUCCUAAGGGUGGAAACGGAGGGUACCUUAGGAGGAAGCCCCGGCUAACUACGUGCCAGCAGCCGCGGGAAGACGGAGGGGGCGAGCGGUAUCCGGAAUUAUUGGGCGUAAAGGGUGCGUAGGCGGCAUUUUAAGUCAGAUGUGAAAGGCUACGGCUUAAACGUAGUUAGCAUUUGAAACUAAAAGGCUUGAGUGCAGGAGAGGAGAGUGGAAUUCCUAGUGUAGCGGUGAAAUGCGUAGAUAUUAGGAGGAACACCAGUGGCGAAGGCGACUCUCUGGACUGCAACUGACGCUGAGGCACGAAAGCGUGGGGAGCGAACAG